Molecule: ribosomal RNA, 490 nt
Filed under: uncultured bacterium
Lineage: Bacteria
Description: bacterial SSU rRNA
Rfam family: Bacterial small subunit ribosomal RNA
Source: RNAcentral
UCGCCUUUGGAUGGACCCGCGGCGUAUUAGCUAGUUGGUGAGGUAAUGGCUCACCAAGGCGAUGAUACGUAGCCGAACUGAGAGGUUGAUCGGCCACAUUGGGACUGAGACACGGCCCAAACUCCUACGGGAGGCAGCAGUAGGGAAUCUUCCACAAUGGACGCAAGCCUGAUGGAGCAACGCCGCGUGAGUGAAGAAGGCUUUCGGGUCGUAAAACUCUGUUGUUGGAGAAGAAUGGUCGGCAGAGUAACUGUUGCCGGCGUGACGGUAUCCAACCAGAAAGCCACGGCUAACUACGUGCCAGCAGCCGCGGUAAUACGUAGGUGGCAAGCGUUAUCCGGAUUUAUUGGGCGUAAAGCGAGCGCAGGCGGUUUUUUAAGUCUGAUGUGAAAGCCCUCGGCUUAACCGAGGAAGCGCAUCGGAAACUGGGAAACUUGAGUGCAGAAGAGGACAGUGGAACUCCAUGUGUAGCGGUGAAAUGCGUAGAUAU